UCAGAAGUACCGCCAUGGUUAACGGGUGUGCCUGCUAAGUACAUGCUCUUUGAGCGCGCGAGUUCGAAUCUCGUCCUCACCG
RNAcentral lists this transfer RNA (82 nucleotides) under Cyanidioschyzon merolae strain 10D. Its description in RNAcentral is "tRNA-Ser". Lineage: Eukaryota; Rhodophyta; Bangiophyceae; Cyanidiales; Cyanidiaceae. The record is from RNAcentral.